GUGCUCGCUUUGGCAGCACAUACACUAAAAUUGGAAUGAUACAGAGGUUAGCAUGGCCCCUGCGCAAGAAUGACAUGCACAUUCGUGAAGUAUUCCAUAAAAAA
Small nuclear RNA from Suncus etruscus (white-toothed pygmy shrew), 104 nucleotides. The record is from RefSeq and is a predicted model, not a curated record. NCBI's taxonomy places the organism in Eukaryota, Metazoa, Chordata, Mammalia, Eulipotyphla, Soricidae.